This 449-nucleotide ribosomal RNA is filed under the name uncultured bacterium. RNAcentral describes it as "bacterial SSU rRNA". It matches the Rfam family "Bacterial small subunit ribosomal RNA", at positions 29 to 524 of the family's 1533-position model. The record is from RNAcentral.
AACGAACGCUGGCGGCAGGCCUAACACAUGCAAGUCGAGCGCCCCAGCAAUGGGGAGCGGCAGACGGGUGAGUAACGCGUGGGUAUCUACCUAGUGGUGCGGAACAGCCCAGGGAAACUUGGAGUAAUACCGCAUAAGCCCGAAAGGGGAAGAUUUAUCGCCAUUAGAUGAGCCCGCGUUGGAUUAGCUAGUUGGUGGGGUAACGGCCCACCAAGGCGACGAUCCAUAGCUGGUCUGAGAGGAUGAUCAGCCACACUGGGACUGAGACACGGCCCAGACUCCUACGGGAGGCAGCAGUGGGGAAUAUUGGACAAUGGGCGCAAGCCUGAUCCAGCCAUGCCGCGUGAGUGACGAAGGUCUUCGGAUUGUAAAGCUCUUUUGGCGGGGACGAUAAUGACGGUACCCGCAGAAUAAGCCCCGGCUAACUUCGUGCCAGCAGCCGCGGUAAU